RNAcentral lists this ribosomal RNA (483 nucleotides) under uncultured bacterium. RNAcentral describes it as "partial 16S ribosomal RNA". It matches the Rfam family "Bacterial small subunit ribosomal RNA", at positions 28 to 523 of the family's 1533-position model. The record is from RNAcentral.
GACGAACGCUGGCGGCGUGCUUAACACAUGCAAGUCGAACGAUGAACCCGGAGCUUGCCUCGGCGGAUUAGUGGCGAACGGGGGAGUAACACGUGAGUAACAUGCCCCUGACUCUGGGAUAACUGCUAGAAAUGGUAGCUAAUACAGCAUACGACCCUCGACGGCAUCGCCAGGGGGUGGAAAGAAGUUCGGUCAAGGAUGGACUCGCGGCCGAUCAGGGAAGUGGUGGGGGACGGCUACCCAAGGCGACGACGGGUAGCCGGCCUGCGAGGGUGACCGGCCACACUGGGACUGAGACACGGCCCAGACUCCUACGGGAGGCAGCAGUGGGGAAUAUUGCACAAUGGGCGCAAGCCUGAUGCAGCAACGCCGCGUGGGGGAUGACGGCCUUCGGGUUGUAAACCUCUUUUAGCAGGGAAGAAGCGAAAGUGACGGUACCUGCAGAAAAAGCACCGGCUAACUACGUGCCAGCCGCCGCAGUAA